This 439-nucleotide long non-coding RNA is filed under the name Nicotiana benthamiana. Its description in RNAcentral is "long non-coding RNA (NBEN_LNC019125)". Lineage: Eukaryota; Viridiplantae; Streptophyta; Magnoliopsida; Solanales; Solanaceae. The record is from RNAcentral.
CAUUGAUCACCCAGCAGCCACAGCAUCAGUUCUGGGGCUGGAAUCGAGUAGUUGAUGAAGCUUUGCUCCAGAACUAUUGUUCUCAUAAACUUCACUCUCAUUGUUUGCUCUAUCCAAGGAACCAGAGUUAUUGACUCUUGCUAGUAGGUUUGCCGUGCCUACAGGUUGCAGCCUCUUAUCAUCAAUCUUACCUAAACUCACCGUUUGCUCUAUCCAAGGAACCAAAGUUAUUCACUCUUGCUAGUAGGUUUGUCGUGCCUACAGGUUGCAGCCUCUUAUCAUCAAUCUUACCUAAACUCAGCUCUUCUGUCUGGCCUAGCUGUUCAUUUUUCAGUCUCUCCUGUGCAAUCCAAAAAAUGAUUAGCAUUCCAAAAAACACUUGAGCAAAGCGACUCAACAGCAAUCAAACAGCUGGAAGAGAAUCUGAAAUGAGACAAGC